GUGCUCGCUUCGGCAGCACAUAUACUAAAAUUGGAACGAUACAGAGGAGAUUAGCAUGGCCCCUGUGCAAGGAUGAUAUGCAAAUUCGUGAAGCAUUCCAUAUUUUU
Molecule: small nuclear RNA, 107 nt
Filed under: Panthera tigris altaica (Amur tiger)
Lineage: Eukaryota; Metazoa; Chordata; Mammalia; Carnivora; Felidae
Source: RNAcentral